AGUGAACGUUGGCGGCGUGCCUAACACAUGCAAGUCGAACGACCCAGCACUUUGCUUGCAAAGUACUGGGGGGUGGCGAACGGGUGAGUAACACAUGGGUAAUCUUCCCUCGAGUGAGGAAUAAUCUCGCGAAAGCGGGACUAAUACCCCAUAAUACUGUGGAGAAUAAGCUCUCACAGUCAAAGUUUUCCGAGCAAUCGGAAGGCGCUUGAGGAUGAGCCUGUGGCCUAUUAGCUAGUUGGUAGGGUAAUUGCCUACCAAGGCAAUGAUGGGUAGCCGGCUUGAGAGGGUGUACGGCCACACUGGGAUUGAGACACGGCCCAGACUCCUACGGGAGGCAGCAGUGAGGAAUUUUGCGCAAUGGGCGAAAGCCUGACGCAGCGACGUCGCGUGGAGGAUGAAGGCCUUCGGGUUGUAAACUCCUGUCAGAGGAGAAGAAACCCCGAGUAAUCGGGGGUGACGGUAUCCUCAGAGGAAGCCCCGGCUAACUACGUG
RNAcentral lists this ribosomal RNA (495 nucleotides) under uncultured bacterium. RNAcentral describes it as "bacterial SSU rRNA". It matches the Rfam family "Bacterial small subunit ribosomal RNA", at positions 29 to 507 of the family's 1533-position model. The record is from RNAcentral.